GGGGUUGUAGCUCAGUGGUAGAGUGUUCACCUAGCAUGUGCCGAGGCUCUGGGUUUGAACCUCAGCACCACA
Molecule: transfer RNA, 72 nt
Filed under: Marmota monax (woodchuck)
Lineage: Eukaryota; Metazoa; Chordata; Mammalia; Rodentia; Sciuridae
Description: tRNA.Ala
Source: RNAcentral